AAGCAUCCCAGAGUCCAGUCAGCAGACAGCAGAGGAGACUGUCAGCAGACCACCUUGGAGGGGAUGCUUGGAGCUGCCUAACGUGUGAUUCAAAGAUGAAUUCCAUGUGUUUGGAGAAGAAGCCCUAGCCUCAACACAAAGGUUGGCCACAUUCCAGCCAAGGUAGCACGGAGUGAAGGCCCAUGGAGGGAGAGCUGGGCUUUUCUGAACUACUUCAGUACACCUUGCUGUGCCUCGGCCUGCCGUGUUUCAUCCCCAUGGCUGUCCUCAGUGAUGUGCAUGGUCACUGCUCCCUUCACCACUGAGAAGACGGGCACAGGACGGUCAGGGGAUGUGUCCAAGGUCCCACAGCAGGAAGGGCUGGAGCCAGAAUGUGGUCUGAGAGGCUGGAUAUACAAAGAGACAAUGGUGUGACCAUCUGUACAAAUGGAACUAUGGCCCACAACCUGCAGCAGCCAGCCCAGGAAGCCAACCUGUCACCUGCAGUAGCCAGGAUGGAUGCUGGCCUGCCCUCAGGUGCCCUUGUUGGAGAACAUGGGAGGCCAAAAUCCAAACGUGGCAAGAGAUAACAAAUGACUUGUCUGGUGGCUGAACCCUGAGCUGGGAGCACUGCCUGGAGAAAACUGUUGUACUCACAUCAUUGGUCUUAUGGGGAAAUUUUAAGAACUCCCACUUGUAAGGUUUUAUAGCCCUCUAUGGAAUAUUGAAGAAAGAGUAAAAUGCAUCCAAAAAAAAAAACAAAAAACACUAAACUGGAUAAAUUCUAAGGCCUCUUCAGGUCUUAAGAUGGCCAUUUUCUAGGUCCUCUUGCUGCAGCAGUGAAAUCCACAAACACGGGCAAGUCAGUCAGUUACGUGCCUUUCAGAGAAAACUUCUGACUUAGGAACUCCAGCUAUUUGGCCCAACCCAUAUUAGAUUGUGUUAUAAAGACAUGGUAAAUUACAUCACGAAGGGAAGAGCAGAGGAAACAUAAUAUUCCUUCAAGACCCAUCAGCUCAGAUGUUAGCAGAACACCCCUAAGGAGGAAAACAAGAAAUUUUGGGUUUGAACUUGGUGCUUCCCAGCAGCCCUGGGAGUGGGGUCAGAAGCCCUGCUGGGGGGCGAAGAACUCUGAGGAUCAAAGAUGUUGAGCAUCACCUUAGAGGCCAAAGAUCAGAACAGCGGAGGUGGCCUUUGAAGCCCAACCUGUCUUUCACCAGAGAGUGAGAACGGCCUCUAUUUCCAGGAAGCUCACUGCAGCAAUAAUCACGAUGCUCUGAGCCUGACAAGGUGAGAAUUUACUUUCAGCACCUGCAAUAGUUUCCUAUUAAAGUUACAUAUGAAACCCUGCCGUCUUGUACCAACUAAUGUUCACACCAGCGUUCCUAUUUUCAAGAUAAAUUGCAAAAUAAAAACUCUUGUUUUUGUUAGCAAAAGAAAACUUCUUUAGGAGGAUAAAAGGGAGAUGAAGAAACAGAAAACACAUCAGCUCUCCAUCCAGAUUACAGAAAGCAGAAAACAUCCUGAAGUGAAUAACAUAGGAAUCACUCUUUUUCCCCCCUGAGAUAGCAGGUUACUUAUGAGAAACAAGCUUGAAAUCUCUGCACCUGGACCAGCUUCCAGAGGCUUUUGUCCUGACCAGGUGAGAGGGAAAAAAAAAAAAAAAAAAAAAACUGAUGGUCGGUCAGUGGGUAAACAGUGACACCCAGUGGUCACUUAGAUAACCAGCUGUGCAUUCUCCCAAUUCAACUAUCCACAUAGAAAAAAAAAUGGUCAAGUAGUAUGCAUUUUGUUAUUCAACAGAUAUUUACUGAAUAACUAGAAGAUGCUAGAUGCUAUUCUAUUCAUUUUAUACCACUCUUCAAAUUACGGAUGUUUCCCCACCGAAACCGACCCUCACAAAAGAAAAACUAUCUGGGGCCUUGGAUCCUCUUUCAAAGGCUCAAGGUGAGACCCACGGAGAGGGGUCAGCAAAUUCCAAAGGAGAUGAAGGGCUUUUCCCAGGGUCACAACCAAAUCAAGGCGCCACGUGGCAGCCAAGCACGAGUCUCCAGAGGCUUCUCUCAGCGCUCCCAUGGGAAAGGGUUUGUGCAUGUUGGGUUCAGGCCACGUGAGCACUGCAGGCGUUGAUCAUAGUAUUAAUACAAGGAUAAUUGCUCUUCCUGGCUUUCUUUGACUAACCUCCAUAACUUGGUUAAGCCAUGUUAUCUUCUACUUUUAUGAUGAGUAAAUUGUCAUUUUCA
Long non-coding RNA from Pan troglodytes (chimpanzee), 2222 nucleotides. RefSeq lists it as uncharacterized. Lineage: Eukaryota; Metazoa; Chordata; Mammalia; Primates; Hominidae. The transcript is spliced from 3 exons. The record is from RefSeq and is a predicted model, not a curated record.